AUCCACUGACUCACACCUGCCUCUCUGCUUGUCCAGAGAGGUACAGAGAAGUAAUGACUUGGACUUGAGGAAGGCCCUUGUAGGACAUGUGAAUGCCAGUGCUCAUGGAGAAAGGUGGAGGAAGAGAGCCAGAGUGCAGUUCACCUCUGGGAGAGCAGACCAGAGUGGCUUCCGUGGGCACAUGCUGGAUUGAAGUGAGAAGACGUGACUACUAAAGUUGAGGCCCCAAGUCUCAGCUUCUUCCCCCUCCAAAGCAUGAGUGGAGGAUUCACUUAAGGCCACUUUGAAGCCCAUAUUGGAGGAGCAUUACUCACUCUGAGGAUCCUGGCAUAGGCAGAUGCAUCACUUGUAUUGAAGUAUAUUAUCUGCUGUGAUAUUUAUGAUGAAAUGAGUUUGCCAGCCAUCGUCUAUCAGGGGAUCAAACAUAGGCACCUGCCUGUCCAAGGGGGUCUAAGUCACAGUACAGAAGUGGUUUGCAAAGGCUGGUGGGAUGGUGUGGCAGGCCUGUGGAGUUGAAUAAAAAUCCUGAUGUCCUUCCUGGCAUGAAGAAUGGAGCUGCCAAGCUGCCCCCAGGAGAAGCGUGCUGCCUAUGCAUCUCACUGGACUUCUGUGUACAGAAGAAAUAUUGGUGGUUUGACCAAACGCUCGGGCUCCCCACGACUCCCGUUGUUAUAUGGGAAAGAACAAGGUCUGGCCCACCUCUCUAAACCUUUAUAAAGGAGCCAGCUGGUGCCUGCCACUUUGUUGCCCACUGGAGAAGACUGGCUGCAUGCAUGUCAUGCACCAUAUCCCAGCAGCAAAGGCCCUGAUUUUUUUUUUUUAUCAGCUGUAGUUCAUUUGUAAAUUAUUAACCUCUCAAGAGCCAAUAUUUGCUCAGGGCCUUCCAGUCCAUCUCAAGUGUCGAUACUGUGCUUGGGAGAUUGCGGGGGAGGAUGGUGCAGGGAGCUCGGUCUGACACGCUGUUGUUGGGGAGGAAAAUGCUCUUUGUCUAGCAAGAGAGGAGGAUCUGACUCAGCAGCAGUAGAACCUCAGGCCAGCCCUUUUCCCACCUGGGGCUGAGGAGACUCAGCCAUGUGAGAGUCCACAUAGAAGCAGGGGUCCUCAGUGCUCUCUAACCACAUUGAGAGUCUACUCUGCCCCAAACCACUCCACUAUGCCAGGCUGAGGCUUUUUAGGCCAAUAUAUAUCUAAGGAUAAAAUGAAGGGAGUUCUGGAUGAUGCAUUAAGAACACUCCUGAGACAUUAGAGCCUUGCUUUGGAUUUGAAGAGGGGAACUUUACUUGUCACCCUGGGUGAAGUCAAUUCCUCUGUGAAUCUCCCCAGUGAGACUGUGGGUACCUUAGGAGAAGAGACAGUGACUUAUUCAUCUCAGAAUCCUCAGACUAGAAUAAGGCCUGGGAUUUAUCAGGCAUUCAGUAAAUUCUUGCUGAAUGAGCAAUUAACUUGAGGUCUUCAGGGUUCCUGGGACCAAAGAGUUGGCCUUUAUAAAAGCACAUUCGUAAUUCAAUCUGUACAAGUAGUACAAUUCAGUAUGGUAUGUUACAAGUCAGUUAUUGAAUAUUACACAUUGCCACAAUGAUCUGUCAGUAAUAAAGACACAGUCCAGAAAAUAUUCUCUCUCGUAGGUCACAACAGUUGACCAGUUGACUCCAAUGAUCUCAUUAAAUAGCUUGAGGUUGAAAAUAACCUAGUGUUUCUCUUACCCAAUACACUAUUUGCUGAUUGAACAACAUAAAGUUUCCAAAAGUGGAAAGGGCAUUAUGAGGAAAGGUAUUAAAAUAAAGCUAUCAUCUUAACUUUUAAUAAAACUGUGUACAAUACUGAAGAUACUUUAUAGCAAGAUGAAAAAAUUAGAGUCCUUGGUGUUGUGCAGAUGAAUUCUAGUCCCAGCAUUAUUCCAUAAUAUGUACCUUGGGCAAAUUAACAACUCUGAGACUCAGUUUUCUCAUCUUUAAAAUGGGGAUACUCUAUCUACCUCUUAAAGUUAUUGUGAGGACUGAAUGAGUUAAUACUUGGAGAGGACUCAGAGCAGGGCAUAGUUAAGGACUCAGUAAGAGCUAACUUUACUAACAUCGCUACCAUCACAAAUAAUAAGUAAGAAAACGUACCUUGAGGAUCUUGCAUAGUACCUGGCAUAAAAUAGGCUCUUAAGAGAUGAAAGCCAAUUAGUACUAGUAAUUAGAGUUUAAAAUGAUAAGAUUUUAAGGCAUGUAGAAAACAAGAAUAUCUUGUGUUUCUGGCAACCAAAGUUAUUCUAUUCCAGGCCAUGGGGAUCUCCUAUUUCUCCAGAAAUAUGGAGGCUACAAGAGAGAACUAACAUUUAUUGGGCACUUACAUUGUACUAGUUACUGUGCUAGGGGCUUUAAAAACAGUUUUUCCAUUUAAGCAAAUAAUCCUAAUAUUUUAGAUAAUUUACCUGAAACCCACCGAGAUGACGUAUUUCUCCAAUGGUUACAUUAGCUAAUACUGGUAGGACUAAGAUUUCAACCCAGAUAUGUUUGGACUCUAUAGCCUGUAUGCUUUCCACUUUUCAGAAACUUAUAAACAAAACAGAGCAAAAACUUUCUGGAACUCUCUGGAGCCCUUGGCUGUUCUCUGGACCUUCCUUUGCUGUGUCUUGGGGCAGGCACAUCUUGGCUUAGGCUGAGCUUUUCUAUUUGCCAAAAGAGUCAUCUCAGAGGGCACAGCCUGGAGUGCAGCUCAACAAACAUAUGUGUAACAGCCGAGUGCCACCACGUUAAGAACUGGACUUACAAGAUGGAUAGGACCUGGUGGCAGCUGUCCUUGAGGAAGCCAGAGCCUGGAGAGACAGAUCUCAUGUUAUAGCAGAGUACCAAUAUUCUGCAGAAAACCAAAACCUCACCUGCAUUCCUACUCCUAUCAUGAUGUUCUGCCCCCCGGGACCCUUGUUUAUGCUGGUCUCUCCUUUUGAAAGAACGUUACCCUUUUCUUCACCCAGCAAAUUCUUACUCAGACUUCAAGACUCAGUUCAGAGUCUGGGGAUGAAUAUUCUACAAAUGGCCCCCAGGAUUGUCAUGGUCCUCACGGCAGGUGAUUUGCUCUUGAACAAUUAACAGAGUGAAGGCUGUGUUCCAUCUCCUCACAGUCUCCCGCUGGGCAUCCUUGGGAGCACAGGAGGAGAAAGGCUUUCUUCUUGAUCCUAUUACUGCUGCCCAGCAUCAAGAAGGAUUAAUUAACCCACCAGGUUUUGCUUCAUUACGAGGAAAAAAGAAAAGCCAGUGACAGUGGAAUUCAAACAUUGAACAGGCAAAGGAAUCAGUGCUCAAGCACCUUAUGAACAUUUCGAAGACUUAGCUGGGCGGUGUGGCGCAAUGUAAAGUAGGGUGACUUGGUGCAAGUUACACACCCCUGCAGCCCUGUUUCUUCAUCCUCAGAGUUCACACUUCAAUUCUACAAAUUGAUGGCCUAUUCUGAGCUAAGCCCCGCCCACUCUGAACUAAGCCCCGCCUACUUUGAUUCCCUACUCUGAGCUAAGGAACAGUCUUUCAUCCCCAUGAAAGCUUUCUGUCUAGAAGGAACUAAAGAGCAUAAUUAUACUUAUUUUCCAGUGCUGUUGUUAGAAUUAAUUAAAUGUGGUAUAGCAUGUGAAAGUACUCUGUAACUAAACAUUGUAUAAAUGUUAAUUAUUCUCAUUUUCAUAUUUGAUAUUCAGGCAUUCAAACAAUUAUUGAGCACUUAUUAGGGCAAAGAACUAUACUUGCAGCUAACAGUUACGUGAAAGAAUUCGAAGACAUUGUUUUUGCUGUUUAGGAAGGUCCCACAUGGCAAAGCAAUUAAGACACACACAUGAAAUAAUUAAACAACAAAGUUGGGCCUAAAGAAGUUUCAUCUCACGUGCUAAUCAUGGCUGGCUGGCUAUGGCUAUCUAGAGUAUUAUGCUGAAAAUGAUUCUGAAGCUCUUUCUGGGCUCAAUUGAAAAGGAUGAUCUGGUGGAUUAGCAAUGAAUGCCAUGGGCAUAAGUUGGGCAUGUAGUGGUACGUGGACUAGUUGUUUAUAGUGCCUAAUACAAGGUAGCAAACAUAAUGAUAAAAGUAACUGUUAUUGAAAUUCAGCCAAGAUUGGUAUCAGUGUAGGCUUGUAUGACUGACAAAGAAUGUAGAGGAGCUAAAGAGUAAGCUUGACCUUGAAUUACGAGUAGGACUUCAGUGAAGAUAGGAGGCUAUUUCAGAAUGCAGGGCAUCUGGUAGGGAGUAGUGGAUGGUGGAGAGUAAGGAACUCAGUACUUGAUUCAAAGCCUGGGUCUCCCAGAAGUGAGCUGUGUGGCUUGGGCCACUUUAUCUCCUGAGGUCUCAGAGUUUUCAUGUAUAAAAUUGUAGAACUUGUCUUGAUGGUUUUGAACAUUCUUUCUAAUUCUGCACAACAGUCCAUUUGUGGGUUAGAUGAGCCUUUACCAAACUGUAUUUCAUGGAACAAUG
RNAcentral lists this long non-coding RNA (4436 nucleotides) under Homo sapiens (human). Its description in RNAcentral is "HSALNT0297930". The record is from RNAcentral. Lineage: Eukaryota; Metazoa; Chordata; Mammalia; Primates; Hominidae.